AUUCUUGGAGAACCAGCACCCACUGGCAACACCCAGAAAGACUGGAGUGCCCCACUUCCCCUGCCGGACAUGGUUUCUUAGCUCCUUAUUUUUUCUUAUCUCUAGACCAGGCUGAGAGCCACCCCCACUCCACCCCUGGCACCCACAGCCCUCAGCAGGCUUCUCCCUCCUCCCCUUGCUCCUACAGGGCCUGGAGGCAACUCAUGGUGCCAAGUGCUCAAGUCUGGUGGGUGUCUUCCCAGCAGGACCUUGGGGUCCCUAAUGGCCUAUUCCACUGGGGAGCCUAGGGCUGGGUUUCCUGUAGGUGGCCGUGGGAACUCAGCAAUGGACUGAAUCCUCAGCGGUAGCCCCUGGGGCCCCUCCCUCUCCCCGGUCCCCGCACCUGCAGGCCUCAGGAAUUCCUGCCUGUGGGGGCAGCCCUGCCCCAGGCUCUGCAGGCAGGAGCGUGGCUCCUUCCAGGCUGCGCAAACUCAGGGCCUGGUCUCAGCAAACGACCUGCCCAGGGAACUCUCAGCAACUUCGCACCAGUCACCGGCCAAGGCUCCUUUCUCUUCAAGGAACUGACAACCAUUCUGUGAGUCAGUAACUGGGGACAAAGGGAAAGGAUGGCCUCAUGUGACAGCUACAGUCACGCGGGAAGGCGCAUCUGCUUCUGCUUCUCCAGAGAGACUGUCUCCUCCGGCGGGAAGGAGGCCCCAGUCACAAUCCAGGUGCCAUGUGCACGCAGUGUCCCCGGCUGGGGACCAAGAUGACCACCUGAACAGUGGAGAGAUACUGUACUGGGAGCAACUGGCUCCCUCUUUGAUGAGCCAGGCUCUCUGAACCUCUGAGCCUGUUUCAAGACUAUGGCCUCAAGAACCCUAAGAAUCCUCCAUGUUGUGAUUUCCAGAAAUUCCUCUGUGUGGAGAAGCGCUGAGGGGUGGCCACGUCCUAAAGGAUCCACGAGGGGUGUCCCACUCAGCACGGCCUGUCCCUCUGGCCGCAAGGAAGCUUGCAGCCCUGGCUGUGGGGUUCCAACCCUAGCUCUGCCUGUCACUGGCCCACGACCCAACUCUCUGACCAUGUUUCACAGAUGAGGAGACCUGAGGCCCCAGGAGGGAACGAAUGUCCCCAAGAUCGUGAGUCUGUCCCUGAGCCUGCUGGCCCACAGCUCUGGGCUCCUUCCCCGUCUUCCCCAGAGGACAGACUCACCCUGAAGGGUCAGCUUUCUAAAGAGGGCCAGGAUGUGCAGGGGUGUUCGGCAUUCAAGGCCUGGGAUGAUAGCAGCGCCGUUCACAGCCCGGCUGGCAAGGCAAGGCCAGUUCCUCUACCCAAGAGCGUUUAUGGCUGCACGGCUGACUCCGUGGGUCUGGAGACCUGCGUCCCCACCUGGGUAAUGGGAAUGAUGAUAACACCAGCACCAGCGCCCAGUCCCAGGACGUCCGGAGAACGUGAGAGGCUGAUGGUGGUGCCUGGCCUGGCCCCGUGGGUGGGAGCCCAGCUCCGGGAGGGGGCUGGGGCGGGGCUGAGAGCCUGCACUGAGCCGCAGGGGCAGGACACAUCUCCGGGAUGGGGAUGGCUCAGCCCACAUUGCCCACAGCGACACACCCGCUCGGCGUCUGCACUCUGGAGCCUGACAGCGGCUUGUCUGUCCCACCAGGAGAAGAGACUUCCCUAAUGGCUUCCAGCGGUAGCACAUUGGGUUCGUAUGGCAAAACAUCCUAAUUUAAAAGGAGAAAAAGGGGGCACCUGUGUGGCUCAGUGUGUUUAAGUGUCUGCCUUCGGCUCAGGUCAUGAUCCUGGGGUCCUGUGAUCGAGUCCCACAUUGGGCUCCCUGCUCAGGAGGAAGCCUGCUUCUCCCUCCCCAGCUCCCCCUGCUUGGGUUCCCUCUCUUGCUGUGGCUCUCUCUGUCAAAUAAACAAAUAAAAUAUUUUUUAAAAAGGAGAGAGAGAAAAGUAUAUAAACAUUUCAUAUAGCCUUGAGGACCCAUUGUACAGAGAAAAGCAGUUGAUAAAAAUUCUUCCUCCUUCUGCAGACUAUGGACAGCCGGCCAGUAGUGGGCCUGGAGCAAAGCCUCAGCUUCUUCUCUGGUUUGGCAAUAGCCAGGCUGGACCCACCCCAGGGGCGCGGCAGCUUCUGCACUGGGGACCCCUGGGGCCUGGUGUAGACCUUCUGCCCCUGACCCUUAGGCUGCAGGGACACCCCCCCUCCUAGGAAGGAGAUGGGGAGACGGUGUCCAGAGGGAGAGAACACUGGCUGGGGAUGUCCACGCUGGGGCCCCGGAUGCCCUGCUAGUCCGUGGUGCUGCCCGGGUUUAACUACAGCAUCUGUUACUUACCACAAGGCAGCAGCAGACCAAAUGCCGUUUACCUAGUACCUCACGGAGUCCUCAGGACGCCCCAUGGAGGAGAUCACGUGACUGGCAGACAGAACCACCAGGAUUCUAAGGCCAAGCCUCUGGUUCCAGUCUUCCCCUCAACCACCACGCUCUUCUGCCUUCUCCCUGAGCUGUGGAGGGAUGACCACCUCUCCUGUGCCCCCACAGCACCUUCACUUCGGGUGUUAACAGGAACCCUGGGAGUCCCCAUCCUGAGAAGCCCUCACACCUGGGGCUGGUGCAGCAGGCGUGCCAGCCAGUGUGGGUCCUGGCCGGUCUGGCCUAGGAAGGGCUCUACAGACCCAGGAUUGAAGAUGUUCCCCUGCCAAGGUCUCUGGGGUCCAGACCUCCCAUUCCGGGUGAGGGGGAGGCCCUGAGGCAGCCCAAGGACACCACGCAGGCUUCCUCUGAGGCUUACACAGGCCCUCAUGCUUGCUUGCCUCCCGGAUCUGCAGAAUAUAGCAUUUUGCUGUUUAUAAGGGUGAGAGGCCCCAAUCUGGCUUGCCCCUGUGGUUGUGCAGCCUUAGCCUGGGUCAACGGACCAGGAGGGGCCAAUAUCCUGAUUUCCAAGUUCAAGGUUCAUGGGCCUGGAGGAAAAGGCUCUUGCUCUUAUAGUCUGCUGAGCCAAGCCCCAAAUGGACAGUCUUUUUUAAUUCACCAGAGGUGCUGCAUGGGCUCAGCGUGAGCCUGCUCAAAGGAGGGGGGACAGUUCCUCCAAGAGCCCUGGAGCAGGCCUCCUGUCUUGCCCUCUGGCCCAGGUCUCUCUCCUCCCCAGGGGCCUGCAAGUUUCCGCAGGCUCUCACUGAUCUCUCCUUCAGGCAACAGGGACCAUGCCUUCGGGUCUGAAAUCAGGACUUGAACUCGGACAAAGGCAGUAUUGAUGUAUGAAUCUAGAAAUAAGGAAAUCCUCACAGUUGGAGAGCAUGUGGUUCAUUCUAGUUUGGGGCGAUUCUGAGUAAAGUCACCAUAUCCGUACCACGGAAUACAACUCAGCAAUAAAAAGCAGCGCACUCCUGAUACACCAGCAGCUUGGCUGGGGCUCAAAGGCAGUCUCCGAAAUGAAAGAAGCUGGCUCAAAAAGCUUCAUGCUAUACGAUUCCGUUCCUAAGACAUCUGGGAAAGGCAAAAUUCCCGGGACAGAAAACAGAUCAGUGGUCGCCAAGGGGCCAGGCGCCGAGGAGGCUCUGGGCGACAGAGGGGUACCGGGGAUUUUUCAGGGUGCUGAAGCUGUUCUGGGCUGUACUGGGGAGGGCAGUACACGGCAGUCCGCGUUUGUCAAAGAAUUGUACGACAAUCAGAACAGGUUUUCCUGUAUGUAAAAUAGAUCUCAAUUUUAAAAAUUAAAAAAAAAAAAAACAGGAAGAAAA
Mustela lutreola (European mink) is the source of this 3723-nucleotide RNA transcript. RefSeq lists it as uncharacterized. The transcript has 3 exons. The record is from RefSeq and is a predicted model, not a curated record. Lineage: Eukaryota; Metazoa; Chordata; Mammalia; Carnivora; Mustelidae.